GCUUCCCGAGUGAGGCAGUGCCUCGCCCUGCUUCGGCUCGCACACGGUGCGCGCACCCACUGACCUGCGCCCGCUCUCUGGCACUCCCUAGUGAGAUGAACCCGGUACCUCAGAUGGAAAUGCAGAAAUCACCGUCUUCUGCGUCGCUCACGCUGGGAGCUGUAGACCGGAGCUGUUCCUAUUCGGCCAUCUUGGCUCCUCCAGGCCAAUUUACUUUCAAAAAUACCUGCAUCCAGGAACUCUCAUGCUAGCAGGAUGAGGUAAUGACUAUUUCCCAUACUCGUGUCAACUUUGAGCAAUGCUAGGAAUUUCCAUAUGUCCAAACAACUGUUUAUCAGGAAAUGCAACAAGGUACUUUUGACACUGAGCGUGAAAGGAACUCAUUGAACCAAAAUCUUCCAAAAAGACUGGAACAUAAGAGAGCGGAUGAAGAGCAUAAUAGAAGAGAAGUGCCAGGGAGGAGGAUUAUCUUAGGCAGAGCACACUGAGGAUGGAGAGUUACCAGCCCUCCCGAGCUGUCGUUGGCACUGAACCAAUGAGAGCCAUUCAUGUGCCUGUCUGUGCCUUGUGUUUUUCUUCUUCAACAUAUACUUUAGAACAUCCAUUCUGUGCAAAGCUCUGUGCCCACAGCUGUUGAGAUGCCAGAUGCAUGCUGUUCCCUGCCCUGAAGACCCCAGCAGUCAGGCCAGGGAG
RNAcentral lists this long non-coding RNA (693 nucleotides) under Homo sapiens (human). Its description in RNAcentral is "long non-coding RNA NONHSAT250757". Lineage: Eukaryota; Metazoa; Chordata; Mammalia; Primates; Hominidae. The record is from RNAcentral.